CCCUUAGAUAUUCUGGGCCGCACGCGCGCUACACUGACGAAGUCAGCGAGCAUGUCCUACGCCGACAGGUGCGGGGAAUCUUGUCAAACUUCGUCGUGAUGGGGAUUGAUUAUUGAAAUUCUUGAUCAUCAACGAGGAAUUCCUAGUAAGCGCAAGUCAGCAGCUUGCGUUGAUUACGUCCCUGCCCUUUGUACACACCGCCCGUCGCUACUACCGAUUGAAUGGUUUAGUGAGAUCUUCGGAUUGGCGCCACUGCGGCUCAGCAAUGGGCUCGGUGGAUGCCGAAAAGUUGAUCAAACUUGAUCAUUUAGAGGAAGUAAAAGUCGUAACA
Molecule: ribosomal RNA, 331 nt
Filed under: uncultured eukaryote
Lineage: Eukaryota
Description: partial 18S ribosomal RNA
Rfam family: Eukaryotic small subunit ribosomal RNA
Source: RNAcentral